Molecule: transfer RNA, 71 nt
Filed under: Stegodyphus mimosarum
Lineage: Eukaryota; Metazoa; Arthropoda; Arachnida; Araneae; Eresidae
Rfam family: tRNA
About the family: Transfer RNA (tRNA) molecules are approximately 80 nucleotides in length. Their secondary structure includes four short double-helical elements and three loops (D, anti-codon, and T loops).
Source: Rfam by way of RNAcentral
GCAUUCGCGGUGUAACGGUAGCACACUCUGCUUGUAUUCGAGAGGUCCAGAUUCGAAUCCUGGCAAGGGCA